CGGCGCCAAUGUUAACGCUUGGAUCCGUUGGGGAUCUAAUUAACGAUAAGUAAAGAGAGUGAGAGAGAGAGGGUGACACGAGAUGUAUAGUGGUUCACCUCCCGCCUUAGCGGGAGACUACGUCCACUUGAAUGUGUACUAGUGUGUCGAGCCUUGCGGCCCAAGGGGAUUACAAAAGAUGUAAUGGGAUGAAUUGAAUUGUGGGAGGAGGCAUUCCUUUUAUAGGUGAAGGAAUGCUUCUCCUUUACAUUGUUUUCGAUGUGGGACAAGCAAAGAUAACUAUUCUAGUGUAGAAAGCCUAGUUGUGAGGGCAUGUUGGCAAGGCCGGGAAGGUGGCUUCCCGGCGACGGAUUUGCCACUUCUGGAUACCGUGGCGUAGCUUGCACAUAGGGCUACAAGAUGCAAGUAGCGUUUUGGAUCCCAUGAGGGUGUUGCUUAUGCUUGGUGAGGUAGCAAACUAGCCUUGCUAGUAGAGGUAUCUACACGUUCUAUAUC
RNAcentral lists this long non-coding RNA (495 nucleotides) under Rosa chinensis. RNAcentral's name for it is "sRNA RchiOBHm_Chr4g0402111". The record is from RNAcentral. Lineage: Eukaryota; Viridiplantae; Streptophyta; Magnoliopsida; Rosales; Rosaceae.